UACGGAGGGUGCAAGCGUUAUCCGGAUUUAUUGGGUUUAAAGGGUCCGUAGGCGGAUCAUUAAGUCAGUGGUGAAAGCCGACAGCUCAACUGUCGAACUGCCAUUGAUACUGGUGAUCUUGAGUACGGUUGAAGUAGGCGGAAUAUGACAUGUAGCGGUGAAAUGCUUAGAUAUGUCAUAGAACACCGAUUGCGAAGGCAGCCUACUAAGCCGUUACUGACGCUGAGGGACGAAAGUGUGGGGAGCGAACAGG
Molecule: ribosomal RNA, 253 nt
Filed under: uncultured bacterium
Lineage: Bacteria
Description: partial 16S ribosomal RNA
Rfam family: Bacterial small subunit ribosomal RNA
Source: RNAcentral